AUUGAACGCUGGCGGCAGGCCUAACACAUGCAAGUCGAGCGAGCGGCGGACGGGUGAGUAAUGUCUGUGAAACUGCCUGAUGGAGGGGGAUAACUACUGGAAACGGUAGCUAAUAACGCAUACCAUCAGAUGUGCCCAGAUGGGAUUAGCUAGUAGGUGGGGUAAUGGCUCACCUAGGCGACGAUCCCUCGCUGGUCGGAGAGGAUGAACAGCCACGCUGGAACUGAGACACGGUCCAGACGCCUACGGGGGGCAGAAGUGGGGAAUAUUGCACAAUGGGCGCAAGCCUGAUGCAGCCAUGCCGCGUGUGUGAAGAAGGCCUUCGUGUUGUAAUGCACUUGCAGCGGGGAGGCGUUACCCGCAGAAGAAGCACCGGCUAACUCCGUGCCAGAAGCCGCGGUAAUAC
This 406-nucleotide ribosomal RNA is filed under the name uncultured bacterium. RNAcentral describes it as "partial 16S ribosomal RNA". It matches the Rfam family "Bacterial small subunit ribosomal RNA", at positions 30 to 526 of the family's 1533-position model. The record is from RNAcentral.